RNAcentral lists this ribosomal RNA (460 nucleotides) under uncultured bacterium. RNAcentral describes it as "partial 16S ribosomal RNA". It matches the Rfam family "Bacterial small subunit ribosomal RNA", at positions 338 to 795 of the family's 1533-position model. The record is from RNAcentral.
CCUACGGGAGGCAGCAGUGAGGAAUAUUGGUCAAUGGACGAGAGUCUGAACCAGCCAAGUAGCGUGAAGGAUGACUGCCCUAUGUGUUGUAAACUUCUUUUGUAUGGGAGUAAAAUGUUGCACGUGUGGGAUUUUGUAUGUACCAUAUGAAUAAGGAUCGGCUAACUCCGUGCCAGCAGCCGCGGUAAUACGGAGGAUCCGAGCGUUAUCCGGAUUUAUUGGGUUUAAAGGGAGCGUAGGUGGAUUGUUAAGUCAGUUGUGAAAGUUUGGGGCUCAACCGUAGAAUUGCAGUUGAAACUGGCAGUCUUGAGUACAGUAGAGGUGGGCGGAAUUCGUGGUGUAGCGGUGAAAUGCGUAGAUAUCACGAAGAACUCCGAUUGCGAAGGCAGCUUACUGGACUGCAACUGACACUGAGGCUCGAAAGUGUGGGUAGCAAACAGGAUUAGAUACCCUAGUAGUC